AAGGAAGCAGCUCUUCCACCUC
Molecule: small nuclear RNA, 22 nt
Filed under: Arabidopsis thaliana (thale cress)
Lineage: Eukaryota; Viridiplantae; Streptophyta; Magnoliopsida; Brassicales; Brassicaceae
Description: snRNA_00304
Source: RNAcentral